RNAcentral lists this ribosomal RNA (426 nucleotides) under Didymium flexuosum. Its description in RNAcentral is "SSU rRNA". It matches the Rfam family "Eukaryotic small subunit ribosomal RNA", at positions 1230 to 1644 of the family's 1831-position model. The record is from RNAcentral. Lineage: Eukaryota; Evosea; Eumycetozoa; Physariida; Didymiaceae. RNAcentral also lists the same sequence under 1 other name.
ACACGUAUGAAAGACAAGCUGAAAGACUUUUCUCAAUGAUGUAAGUGGUGGUGCAUGGUCGUUCUUAGUUCGUGGAGUGGUUUGUCUGGUCUAUUCCGAUAACGAGCGAGACCCCGACGUCCUUAGUAGGGGUGGCAGCCCGGCUCGCCUCACGGCUUGCUAGCAGCCACCCAAGCAUAAGCUUCUUAGGCGAAUCAGAGCCGAUAAGGUUCUUGAAAUGGGUUAAUAACAGGUCAGUCAUGCCCUUAGAUGUUCUGGGCCGCACGCGCGUUACAAUGGUAUACAUUAGAACGUGCUCUCAAGGGCUUUUCCGCGGCCCACAGGUCGCGGUAACCCUUAGUCUCUUCCUUGACUGGGACAGACUAUUGCAAUUAUUGGUCUCAAACGAGGAAUUUUUAGUAGUCGCAAGUCAUUAACUUGCGACGA